Long non-coding RNA from Oncorhynchus tshawytscha (Chinook salmon), 1022 nucleotides. The record is from Ensembl. Lineage: Eukaryota; Metazoa; Chordata; Actinopteri; Salmoniformes; Salmonidae.
AAAGUCCUGCCUCUCCCAUCUCCUCAUUGGUUUAUAGAAGCACAUUGGUUACACCCACAUCGGUGACUGAAAGAUUAACCAUCUUGCCGGUAGUCGUGGUAAUACAAUGAACGUUUAGAUGCGAACACCAUAUAAAUUAAACUAGAAACGAUUCGGUUGGCCGUUUUAUGUGUGGAUUAAUUGUUGGAGUAGAGGUCCUUGUGCAUUUCAGAACUACCCACCUAAAAAGGACCAAGCAGCGUGGUCAAGAGGAGCAGAGAUCCUGGGCCUGGGAGGAGGUCAUGGCAGGGGACAAGAUCCUGCCAUGGAAACAGGUGGAAACAGCGAAAGAGGAACGGCAACGAUACGAGGGGACACAGCUAGCACGGAAACCCGAGAGGCAGCUCCAAAAAGAUUUUUUGGGGGGGCACACGAGGAGAGUGACAGAGUCAGUGUGGCUGGUCAGGCACCGUGUGCGCACAGUGUCUCCAGUGCCCAUUCAUAGCCCGGUGCUCUCUAUUCCAGCUCCCCGCAUUGGCCGGGCUAGAAUGGGCAUCCAGCCAGGACGGAUGGUGCCGGCUCAACGCUCCUGGUCUCCUUGGACCAGGAUAUCCUGCGCCAGCUCUGCGCACUGUGUCUCCGGUGCGUCUGCACAGCCCAGUGCGACUGGUGCCAGAGCCCCACAUUUGCAGGGCAAAAAUAAACAUCCAGCCAGGAUGGGUUGUGCCAGCUCUACCCUUUAGACCUCCAGUGUGCCUCAACAGUCCAGUACGUCCUGUGCCUCCUCCCCGCACUCGCCCUGAGGUGAGUGUCAUCAUCCAGGUGCCACCUGUACCGGUCCCACGCAUCAGGCCUCCAGUGCGCCUCCACAGGACUGUGCGCCUCCACAGUCCAGGGGAUCAUAUAUAAGUUGUCCUUUUUUGUUUGGGUUUUGUGGGUAGUUGUUUUCUGUUUAGUGUCUGCACCUGACAGGACUGUUUCGGUUUUCCCUCCAUGUUAUUUUGUUCGUGUGUUUUGAGUAUUAAAUUUAUCAUGAACACUUA